Non-coding RNA from Leptonychotes weddellii (Weddell seal), 2102 nucleotides. Lineage: Eukaryota; Metazoa; Chordata; Mammalia; Carnivora; Phocidae. The record is from RefSeq and is a predicted model, not a curated record.
GAGUAUUUUUCCGCCUCGCGCUAAGGAUUCUGGAAACAAGGAAGGACCGCGAUAGAGGGUCACCUUCUCGCGAGAUUUGCGCCUGGGACGGCGGAGUCUUAUUCAGAGACCGGCUCCUCAAACUGAAGGACUAGGUUCCACGGCGGUGGGAGAGCAAAGUGAUUUUUAAAUUCCGGGCAGCUGCUGAAGGUCUUGUCUCUGUGCUUUAAGAAAACCCCCUUAUUGCACCAAAGACAUCUCAAGAAUUAUUUCUUGGCUGUUGGCUCCAAAACUCAACAUCUUUCCUAUAUCAAGAGACAUUUGGUGGCAGCAGUGGGAUCCAAAGCAAAUCUCCAUCAACAUUCAGGGACAAUGAGAAACACAAGCAUGGCGCCCUGUUAACCCUUUUGAAUUCACUUUCUUGCUGUUUUCAAAGGCCAUUGAGAAACUAAAAGAUAUUUGGAUGUGUUAGUGCCACAUUGGAAAAGGCACAUGCUUCUAGAAAUUAUGAAAUGUAUUUGUAAAUUUGCCAACCUAAAGAAUGCUGGUGUUACAAGGUUGCAGUUUUCUUGUCUCACGGAGGCGAAGAAUGAAUCUCGUGGACACAAAAGGGUGAAGUGAUAGUUUAUUAAGUUAAGAGGCUUCACACCUCCCUCUGGACCCUUUGAACACCUGCAGUUGGACUUCAUUCAACUGUCACUUAGUAUGGGUUACCACUAUGUUCUUAUUCUUAUAUGUGUGUUUUUCGCAUGGAUUGAAGCUUUCCCUUAACUGCAAGACUGAUGUCCUCAUAGUGGCAAAAAACUGUUAGAAAAUGUGUUUUCUACUUGGUAUACCGUCCAUGAUCUCCAGUGAUCAAGAUACCUCUGCUUCCCUGGGAAAAUCUUAUAAGCCUUAAUGAAAACCUUGAAAACUUUUUGGAAUUAUCACUCUCCCCAUCACUUCAAUCAUCAGACAAGGUUGAGAGAACUAAUGGGAUCCUCAAACUGAGCAUUUCUAAACUUGCCAAAACUAUUGGACUUCGCUGUUCUAAGAUAUUGCCCUUGGUCUUACUGACUGCUAGAAGUUACCCCUUUGGGAAGUAUAACCUCACACCAUGUGAGAUAGUCAUAAGCAGACCAUUGUAUAUUGGUGUACAAUCUUCUGCUGAUCCCUUGUUGUCUCAUACUGGUAUGACUGACUACUGUAAGUCUCUCAUAUCUUAUGCUCAAGCCUGUCAACAGGUUAUAGAAGCCUUUGUGGAUCCCAAUUUAAAGGAUCCUGUUGGUCACAGUCUAAAGCCUGGUGACGAGGUAUUCUGGAAACAUCAUCAGAGGAAGACACUCCUUGAGCUCAGUUGGAAGGGACUUUACCAAGUUUUCCUGACUGCUGACACUGUUGCAAAACUAGAAGACGCUGGAGAUCUCUGAAUCAAAUUGACAAGGAAGAGGAGUAGCUGACAUUGAAGUAACUGAUUCAGCCCACGACAGUGGAUCAACUUCAUAUUUUAACUAAAUAUGAAACCCUUUCCCCUUCUUUUCUCUUCCUUUACUUUGGCAUUGCCUAGAAAGAUAAUGCCUUCCUCUGUAUCUCUCAGGCCAUUGCUAAGAGGGGGUAAUCUAGAAUUUAUUUCAGGUUAGAAGAAAAUCUAACUGUGCCCCUAAUUUUUCACAAGCAAAAUAAGAGAUCUCUUUGGUUGACUCCCCCGAAUUUACAUUGUUGAGUUAGAAAGGACCUACCAAGGAGGCUUUCAUAAUUUAGGAUUCACUCCUUAUAGGAGGUCCCUAUUUCCCUGGUUAGGGAUAAAUGUAAAUGAGCCUAUGACCAAGAACUUCUCCUUAAUUCUUAAUUAUUGAAGAAUCUGCUGCUGAAGUAAUAGUGGCCCUACAAAGAUUCUUAGACUCUAUGGCCAAAGUUCUUGAUAAUAGAAUAGCCCUUAAUCAUCUUUUAUCUGAGCAAGGAGGUGUCUGUGUUGUGGCCAACACCAUUUGCUUUACCUGGAUUAACACUUCUGGGGCAAUUAAAACUCAAUUACAUAAAAUCGAGGGGGGAGCCACUUGGCUUAAAAAGUUCACUUUAGGUGGGGUGCCUGGGUGGCUCACUUGGUUGAGCAUCUGAUUCUUGGUUUCAGCUCAGGUCAUGAU